RNAcentral lists this ribosomal RNA (331 nucleotides) under uncultured bacterium. RNAcentral's name for it is "bacterial SSU rRNA". It matches the Rfam family "Bacterial small subunit ribosomal RNA", at positions 568 to 898 of the family's 1533-position model. The record is from RNAcentral.
UCCGUAGGCGGUGCGGCAAGUCGGAAAGUGAAAUCUCUGGGCUUAACUCAGAGGCUGCUUCCGAAACUGCCGUGCUCGAGUGUGAGAGAGGCGAGUGGAAUUACGGGUGUAGCGGUGAAAUGCGUAGAUAUCCGUAGGAACAUCCGAGGCGAAAGCGGCUCGCUGGAUCACAACUGACGCUGAGGGACGAAAGCUAGGGGAGCAAACAGGAUUAGAUACCCUGGUAGUCCUAGCCCUAAACCAUCAGGACUUGGGGUUUGCCCUGUACGGGGCAAGUCCCGGAGCUAACGCGUUAAGUCCUGCGCCUGGGGAGUACGGUCGCAAGGCUGAA